RNAcentral lists this ribosomal RNA (497 nucleotides) under uncultured bacterium. Its description in RNAcentral is "partial 16S ribosomal RNA". It matches the Rfam family "Bacterial small subunit ribosomal RNA", at positions 28 to 507 of the family's 1533-position model. The record is from RNAcentral.
GUUGAACGCUGGCGGCAGGCCUAACACAUGCAAGUCGAGCGGACGGACGGGGAUCUUUCCUUUAUUCAGCUGCGGACGGGCGGGUAAUUCACACGUAGCUGACCGACCGUUAAGGCUAAGGUCACGUCGGGGACGCUGAUAUAGCACCGGAUAAUAUUGUGAACCGGAUGGUUCAACAGAGCACAAGCUUCUUGCUGACACUAGUAGAUAGUUCCUAGCUGCAUUAGCUAGUUGGUAAGGUAACGGCUUACCAAGGCAACGAUGCAUAGCCGACCUGAGAGGGUGAUCGGCCACACUGGAACUGAGACACGGUCCAGACUCCUACGGGAGGCAGCAGUAGGGAAUCUUCCGCAAUGGGCGAAAGCCUGACGGAGCAACGCCGCGUGAGUGAUGAAGGUCUUCGGAUCGUAAAACUCUGUUAUUAGGGAAGAACAUAUGUGUAAGUAACUGUGCACAUCUUGACGGUACCUAAUCAGAAAGCCACGGCUAACUACGUG